AUAACCUACGGGACGCAGCAGUGGGGGAUAUUGGACAAUGGGGGAAACCCUGAUCCAGCGAUGCCGCGUGAGGGAAGAAGGUUUUCGGAUUGUAAACCUCUGUGGAGGGGGACGAUAAUGACGGUACCCCUUUAGGAAGCCACGGCUAACUACGAGCCAGCAGCCGCGGUAAUACGUAGGUGGCGAGCGUUGUCCGGAAUUACUGGGUGUAAAGGGAGUGUAGGCGGGAAAGAAAGGCAGAAGGGAAAA
RNAcentral lists this ribosomal RNA (249 nucleotides) under uncultured bacterium. RNAcentral describes it as "partial 16S ribosomal RNA". It matches the Rfam family "Bacterial small subunit ribosomal RNA", at positions 334 to 600 of the family's 1533-position model. The record is from RNAcentral.